UAUGUGGGGAAGUUGAUGGAAACCAUGAAUAUAGAAAACUGGAGAUACUCCUGGAAAGACAGAAAUUGGUUGGCUGUUUCCAGAAGACUUACCUACACAGGAAACAGACCUACAAGCCUCUGAUUUCAUCCUAAUAACGAUUCUGUGGAAUAAUGGUCUCAUUAUUCACAAUUUUGGAUGAGGCAGGAGGAUGCCACUGAAACGUAGGUUGAGUGAAUCAUUCUACAGAAUGAGAGAGUGGUCAAGCAGAUAUUUAUCAAGUGCCAGACACUACUGCCAACAUUGCCAGGAAGUAAAAAGCAGUCUGAGUGUGACGAAGAUAAGAAAGUAUAAACCCAGCUGCGAUAAAAAAGCAGAAUUUGAGCAUGUCAUAAGAGCAUACAAGAAUGGAUGACCAAAGAAGAAUAGAUUACACCAGACUGGAAGGGCUAGGAGAAGCUCCCUGCAGAAGUGACAUGUGAGGUGCCUCAACAGAACAAGGCGUGUGUAGCUCUGAAGAGAAUUCCCAACUCCCAUUAGCCCCGG
Odocoileus virginianus texanus is the source of this 525-nucleotide long non-coding RNA. RefSeq lists it as uncharacterized. The record is from RefSeq and is a predicted model, not a curated record. Lineage: Eukaryota; Metazoa; Chordata; Mammalia; Artiodactyla; Cervidae.